AUUCCCCUAGUAACGGCGAGUGAAGAGGGAAAAGCCCAGCACCGAAGCCUGCGGCAGAUUUGCUGUUAGGCAAUGUGGUGUUUGGGUCGGCUCGUGGGACUGCCACUCCACUCGAAGUCCAGCAUUGAGUAUGGUCACUGGAUUUGGCCCAGAGAGGGUGAAAGGCCCGUACGGGUGGAGGUUCAGAAAUGUAAGGCAGUUCACCAGGUCGACCUUAGAGUCGGGUUGUUUGGGAAUGCAGCCCAAAGCGGGUGGUAAACUCCAUCCAAGGCUAAAUACAAGCACGAGUCCGAUAGCGAACAAGUACCGUGAGGGAAAGUUGAAAAGUACUCUGAAGAGAGAGUAAACAGUACGUGAAACCGCAUGCAGGUAAACGGGUGGCGUCAAGCUGCAAGCCCAGAGGAUUCANCCGGCUAGGAUGUUGUGUAUGCGCCUGGCGCAUCUAUCAGUCAGAGUAUGAUUGGAUAGUCCACUGGUAAACGGUGGGCCCGACCGUAAGGUUGGGAUAUGUGUACCGGGUGGGUGCCGGAGCAUGCUAUCCGUCUAGGGACUGUCUAGCCGGUGCACUUUCUCUGUGGUGAACACCACGACCGGUGGUAUUGCCAGUCUGCUGUGUCCAAGUCCUAUCUGGUAGGUCCUUGUGGCCAACUGGGUAGGAUCACAGGCAAACUCAGUAAACGGCGUAGAGGUGUUUCGGCAUCUUUGCGUGUUAUCGGCUACUGGUUGUCAACGGGCCUGCCUAAUGUUUGUUGUAACCGACAUUGGGUGGUCUGGUGGGGCAUAGUGGUAAGAAUAACUGUGCAAGGCACCGGAGUUAUCGGCCUCAAAUGCACCCUGCGCCCAUGUUACAAAUGGUUAAAUGGUAGUGCCGUUGCUGCCUGCCCGUGGUUGGGUCUGAUUGUCGUGUCGCCUGCGCAAAGUGGGCCCGGCAGUGGCUCGGCUCGGGAUGGGUAGUGGAUGGUGCUGUCAGUGUGGGGUGUGGUGGGCCUAAUAGUCAGUGGUGUAGUGGUAGACGAGCUACCCGACCCGUCUUGAAACACGGACCAAGGAGUUUAACAUGUAUGCGAGUCAAUGGGCGUUACGAAACCCAAAGGCGCAGUGAAAGUGAAGCUUCGACUUGUCUCGAAGUGAGGUGAGAUCCUGCUGUUACUCGCAUCAGCCUAAUGUCAGCAUCAGGCUAAGAGCAGUGGGCGCAUCACCGGCCCGUCCCAUGAUGUGGUCAUUGGAUGUGCUGUGGUCGUUGCUUCGGUGGCGGCCGUGGUGCCAGUGCGUCAUCGGGGCGGUGCAUGAGCAUACAUGUUGAGAC
RNAcentral lists this ribosomal RNA (1306 nucleotides) under Matticestus kathleenae. RNAcentral's name for it is "eukaryotic LSU rRNA". It matches the Rfam family "Eukaryotic large subunit ribosomal RNA", at positions 74 to 815 of the family's 3401-position model. The record is from RNAcentral. Lineage: Eukaryota; Metazoa; Platyhelminthes; Cestoda; Onchoproteocephalidea.